GACGAACGCUGGCGGCGUGCUUAACACAUGCAAGUCGAACGGAAAGGCCCUGCUUUUGUGGGGUGCUCGAGUGGCGAACGGGUGAGUAACACGUGAGUAACCUGCCCUUGACUUUGGGAUAACUUCAGGAAACUGGGGCUAAUACCGGAUAGGAGCUCCUGCUGCAUGGUGGGGGUUGGAAAGUUUCGGCGGUUGGGGAUGGACUCGCGGCUUAUCAGCUUGUUGGUGGGGUAGUGGCUUACCAAGGCUUUGACGGGUAGCCGGCCUGAGAGGGUGACCGGCCACAUUGGGACUGAGAUACGGCCCAGACUCCAACGGGAGGCAGCGGUGGGGAAUAUUGCACAAUGGGCGGAAGCCUGAUGCAGCAACGCUGCGUGCGUGAUGACGGCCUUCGGGUUGUAAACCGCUUUCGCCUGUGACGAAGCGUGAGUGACGGUAAUGAGUAAAGAAGCACCGGCUAACUACGUG
RNAcentral lists this ribosomal RNA (468 nucleotides) under uncultured bacterium. RNAcentral describes it as "partial 16S ribosomal RNA". It matches the Rfam family "Bacterial small subunit ribosomal RNA", at positions 28 to 507 of the family's 1533-position model. The record is from RNAcentral.